Molecule: ribosomal RNA, 292 nt
Filed under: uncultured bacterium
Lineage: Bacteria
Description: partial 16S ribosomal RNA
Rfam family: Bacterial small subunit ribosomal RNA
Source: RNAcentral
GUGUCAGCAGCCGCGGUAAUACAGAGGUCCCAAGCGUUAGGCGGAAUCACUGGGCUUAAAGCGUGUGUAGGCGGAUGCCUAAGUACCUUGUGAAAUCCCACGGCUUAACCGUGGAACUGCUGGGUAUACUGGGUGUCUUGAGCCAUCUAGGGGCCUGCGGAACAAACGGUGGAGCGGUGAAAUGCGUAGAUAUCGUUUGGAACGCCAACGGUGAAAACAGCAGGCUGGGGAUGUGCUGACGCUGAGACACGAAAGCCAGGGGAGCAAACGGGAUUAGAUACCCCCGUAGUCC